This 848-nucleotide ribosomal RNA is filed under the name Ramularia geranii. RNAcentral's name for it is "eukaryotic LSU rRNA". It matches the Rfam family "Eukaryotic large subunit ribosomal RNA", at positions 51 to 930 of the family's 3401-position model. The record is from RNAcentral. Lineage: Eukaryota; Fungi; Ascomycota; Dothideomycetes; Mycosphaerellales; Mycosphaerellaceae.
CGGAGGAAAAGAAACCAACAGGGAUUGCCCUAGUAACGGCGAGUGAAGCGGCAACAGCUCAAAUUUGAAAUCUGGCGCAAGCCCGAGUUGUAAUUUGUAGAGGAUGCUUCUAGGUAGCGACCGGUCUAAGUUCCUUGGAACAGGACGUCAUAGAGGGUGAGAAUCCCGUAUGUGACCGGCCCGCACCUUCUACGUAGCUCCUUCGACGAGUCGAGUUGUUUGGGAAUGCAGCUCUAAAUGGGAGGUAAAUUUCUUCUAAAGCUAAAUACCGGCCAGAGACCGAUAGCGCACAAGUAGAGUGAUCGAAAGAUGAAAAGCACUUUGGAAAGAGAGUUAAAAAGCACGUGAAAUUGUUGAAAGGGAAGCGCUCACAACCAGACUUCUGGGCGGUGUUCCGCCGGUCUUCUGACCGGUCUACUCACCGUCCCGAGGCCAACAUCAUCUGGGACCGCUGGAUAAGACCUUAGGAAUGUAGCUUCCCUCGGGAAGUGUUAUAGCCUGUGGUGAUGUGGCGCGUCCCGGGUGAGGUCCGCGCUUCGGCAAGGAUGUUGGCGUAAUGGUGGUCAGCGGCCCGUCUUGAAACACGGACCAAGGAGUCUAACAUCUAUGCGAGUGUUCGGGUGUCAAACCCCUACGCGUAAUGAAAGUGAACGGAGGUGGGAAGCGCAAGCUGCACCAUCGACCGAUCCUGAUGUCCUCGGAUGGAUUUGAGUAAGAGCAUAGCUGUUGGGACCCGAAAGAUGGUGAACUAUGCCUGAAUAGGGUGAAGCCAGAGGAAACUCUGGUGGAGGCUCGCAGCGGUUCUGACGUGCAAAUCGAUCGUCAAAUUUGGGUAUAGGGGCGAAAGA